Aspergillus bertholletiae is the source of this 120-nucleotide non-coding RNA. The record is from the annotation of a GenBank genome assembly. Lineage: Eukaryota; Fungi; Ascomycota; Eurotiomycetes; Eurotiales; Aspergillaceae.
GGUCCUAUGGGGUAGUGGUUAUCCCACCGGAUUUUGAUGAACAAUAUAGGUAUAUAUUUCUGUAUAUCUAUAGGAAGAUCAAAUCUUCCGGUAACGCCGGUUCGAAUCCGGCUAGGACCU